RNAcentral lists this ribosomal RNA (406 nucleotides) under uncultured bacterium. RNAcentral describes it as "partial 16S ribosomal RNA". It matches the Rfam family "Bacterial small subunit ribosomal RNA", at positions 30 to 526 of the family's 1533-position model. The record is from RNAcentral.
AUUGAACGCUGGCGGCAGGCCUAACACAUGCAAGUCGAGCGAGAGGCGGACGGGUGAGUAAUGUCUGGGAAACUGCCUGAUGGAGGGGGAUACCUACUGGAAACGGUAGCUAAUACCGCCUACCUUCAGAUGUGCCCAGAUGUGAUUAGAUCGUGGUGGGGGUAAUGGCUCACCUAGGCGACGAUUCCUAGCUGGUCUGAGAGGAUGACCAGCCACACUGGAACUGAGACACGGUCCAGACUCCUACGUGUGGCAGCAUUGGGGAAUAUUGCACAACGGUCGCAAGCCUGAUGCAGCCAUGCCGCGUGUCUGAAGAAGGCCUUCGGGUUGUAAAGUACGUUCAGCGAGGAGGCGUUACUCGCAGAAGAAGCACCGGCUAACUCCGUGCCAGCAGCCGCGGUAAUUC